RNAcentral lists this unclassified non-coding RNA (379 nucleotides) under uncultured fungus. RNAcentral describes it as "partial contains small subunit ribosomal RNA, internal transcribed spacer 1, and 5.8S ribosomal RNA". The stretch from base 1 to 73 matches the Rfam family "Eukaryotic small subunit ribosomal RNA", at positions 1759 to 1831 of the family's 1831-position model. The record is from RNAcentral. Lineage: Eukaryota; Fungi.
GCAAACUUGGUCAUUUAGAGGAAGUAAAAGUCGUAACAAGGUAUCCGUAGGUGAACCUGCGGAUGGAUCAUUACCAAUUUAAUUGUUCUGCAAGGCUACUAGUAGUCUUGUGGGACUAACCCUCAAUGUAAACCGUUGAACCUUCUUACCUACUUAUUGUAACACGUGGUUGACUGGAGGGGGCUUCGGCCCGCAAUAGCAGCCACUUGUUGCAGUAUUUACAUAUACUACUCGUAUAUACUACCAACCAAUCAAACACACUAUAUGAUAUUCUUUUUAUGGGCGGAGUGGCUAACACCCUCGGCUUUAAAAAAACAAAUAACAUAAUACAACUUUCAGCAAUGGAUCUCUAGGCUCUCGCAUCGAUGAAGAACGCAGC